This 520-nucleotide ribosomal RNA is filed under the name uncultured Glomus. Its description in RNAcentral is "SSU rRNA". It matches the Rfam family "Eukaryotic small subunit ribosomal RNA", at positions 569 to 1090 of the family's 1831-position model. Lineage: Eukaryota; Fungi; Glomeromycota; Glomeromycetes; Glomerales; Glomeraceae. The record is from RNAcentral.
AGCAGCCGCGGUAAUUCCAGCUCCAAUAGCGUAUAUUAAAGUUGUUGCAGUUAAAAAGCUCGUAGUUGAAUUUCGAGGUUAGUAGGUUGGUCAUGCCUCUGGUAUGUACUGGUCUCACUGAUUCCUCCUUCCUGAUGAGCCGUAAUGCCAUUAAUUUGGUGUUGCGGGGAAUUUGGACUGUUACUUUGAAAAAAUUAGAGUGUUUAAAGCAAGCUAACGCUUGAAUACAUUAGCAUGGAAUAAUGAAAUAGGACGUUCGAUCCUAUUUUGUUGGUUUCUAGGAUUGACGUAAUGAUUAAUAGGGAUAGUUGGGGGCAUUAGUAUUCAAUUGUCAGAGGUGAAAUUCUUGGAUUUAUUGAAGACUAACUACUGCGAAAGCAUUUGCCAAGGAUGUUUUCAUUAAUCAAGAACGAAAGUUAGGGGAUCGAAGACGAUCAGAUACCGUCGUAGUCUUAACCAUAAACUAUGCCGACUAGGGAUCGGAUGAUGUUAAUUUUUUAAUGACUCAUUCGGCGCCUUA